GUUACCAUGACACUGAGAGAACACUGAACUGCAUUUUGAAACAGGCCCCCUGGUCCAGCAGUACUGAAUAUAGGCUGAUACCUCAGACAAGAUCUCUCUGAAGGAGAAAUACAGAUAAAAGCAAAGCUCUGUGACUGAUUUUUUCACUAUCUACUUGAAAGACAGUGGGUCAGAAUUAAGGCAUUUUUGCUGCGGAGGAAAUGUGUGGGAUGUUGGCUGUGAGCCAGUAGCCACUAACAUCCCUGGCUGCACUAGGAAUACUUGAAUGAAGUGGGCGUCAACCUCGGGAGAGCGGGCAGCGCUACCUACAUCAGAGAAAAACCUCUUCAUUGAGACUCAAGGAGUAAAAAUAUUGAAUGGAGAUAAACCGGUUUGAUGGAUUUUUUUUUUCCUGUGAGGAACAGUAAAAAUACAAGAAUCACGAUCCAGUCUGGAAGAACAUCCCCUAAGGUCCUGUGCCUGUCGUGUCCCAUUCAUUCCGCAGAAAAUGAGAUACAUGCAGUCCUUGACUACUCUGACUUGUUCUUCAAGGGUUAUGGCAACAGUGAUUGUCCCUUCUAGGAUGCCUGUGAAGUAUUUGCCAGUGGUGGUUGUAACUGUUCUCUCCAAAUGCACAGCCUGUCAGCUUCUCACGACCUGCUCGGAGCUAGAGUGUGGAAAUUGGGACACCAGCUGCAUAUUCCUACUGGACCUUGGCUCUUCUCUGGGUAGCACAUCCGCAGCGCAAAGCUUCGGAGAGAUGCCGUGCGCUGAAACACCAGGAGCACCCAGCCCAGCGCGCAGCUUUCUGCUCUGCAGGCCGAGUCCUCUCCGGCUCCCGAGCGCCUGCUCCCAGGAGAGGGCAGUGGAGCCGCACACGCUCCCGUGCUGCGGCCGGCGGGAAGGCCGGCUCCCCCGGCUGCUGGGCAAGGAGAGGGACGGGGCAGCAGAGGUAUGCUCUUGUCUAGCCUGGGUUCUGUGCUGACUGGAGGAGCAGUGAAACAAAAACUGAGCAAUUGGGAGAGCCUUUCUCAGCUGGUGUAAGGUGUUGCACGGGUGGAGGGGAGCCUGCGAGACGCGACCUGACAGCAUUUGGGACCCAACACAGAGGUAAGUCCACGUGGCACGUGCCCUAAUGUCCUAAAACCUGUAAAUGUUGAUAUCUAGAGUUAAAACUGAACGAUGAGGAUUUUGUAGCCUUCCCGUGUAUGCUGGUUUCUUGCUUUGGAGCAGGAGUGUGCUUUUGUAGCAUCUCUCAGAUGUCGCCGUGUCUUGCUGCUGCUUGGGUUGUCGAUUUUUCUUUCCCCCUGUAUGCCACUGAACAGGGGCCUUGCGCACUACAGAUAGCGUGAGAGUUGCUUUCCUAAAAGCAGGAAUAAACAGUCAUCAGAUGAAAUAUUCCA
RNAcentral lists this long non-coding RNA (1382 nucleotides) under Anser cygnoides (Swan goose). RNAcentral's name for it is "lncRNA (ENSACDG00005006398.1)". Lineage: Eukaryota; Metazoa; Chordata; Aves; Anseriformes; Anatidae. The record is from RNAcentral.